GGCCCUGUAGUACAACGGAUAGUACACCAGACUUUGAAUCUGUAGACCUGAGUUCAACUCUCAGCAGGGCCU
RNAcentral lists this transfer RNA (72 nucleotides) under Yasminevirus sp. GU-2018. It matches the Rfam family "tRNA". Rfam says of the family: Transfer RNA (tRNA) molecules are approximately 80 nucleotides in length. Their secondary structure includes four short double-helical elements and three loops (D, anti-codon, and T loops). Lineage: Varidnaviria; Bamfordvirae; Nucleocytoviricota; Megaviricetes; Imitervirales; Mimiviridae. The record is from Rfam by way of RNAcentral.